GCUGGGCAUGGUGGCUCAUGCCUGUAAUCCCAGCACUUUGGGAGGCUGAGGCGGGCAGAUCACCUGAGGCCAGGAGUUCGAUCAAGACCAGCCUGGCCAACAUGGUGAAACCCCGUCUCUA
This 121-nucleotide non-coding RNA is filed under the name Nomascus leucogenys (northern white-cheeked gibbon). Lineage: Eukaryota; Metazoa; Chordata; Mammalia; Primates; Hylobatidae. The record is from Rfam by way of RNAcentral.